This 253-nucleotide ribosomal RNA is filed under the name uncultured bacterium. RNAcentral's name for it is "partial 16S ribosomal RNA". It matches the Rfam family "Bacterial small subunit ribosomal RNA", at positions 524 to 776 of the family's 1533-position model. The record is from RNAcentral.
UACGUAGGGGGCAAGCGUUGUCCGGAAUCAUUGGGCGUAAAGAGCGCGUAGGCGGCCCGAUAAGUCCGCUGUGAAAGUCAAGGGCUUAACCCUUGAAUGCCGGUGGAAACUGUCGGGCUAGAGUCCGGAAGAGGCGAGUGGAAUUCCUGGUGUAGCGGUGAAAUGCGCAGAUAUCAGGAGGAACACCGAUGGCGAAGGCAGCUCGCUGGGACGUUACUGACGCUGAGACGCGAAAGCGUGGGGAGCAAACAGG